RNAcentral lists this ribosomal RNA (252 nucleotides) under uncultured bacterium. Its description in RNAcentral is "partial 16S ribosomal RNA". It matches the Rfam family "Bacterial small subunit ribosomal RNA", at positions 524 to 776 of the family's 1533-position model. The record is from RNAcentral.
UACGUAGGGGGCGAGCGUUGUCCGGAUUUAUUGGGCGUAAAGAGCGUGUAGGCGGCCAGGUAGGUCUGCUGUGAAAACUCGAGGCUCAACCUCGAGACGUCGGCGGAAACCAUCUGGCUAGAGUCCGGAAGAGGAGAGUGGAAUCCUGGUGUAGCGGUGAAAUGCGCAGAUAUCAGGAAGAACACCCGUGGCGAAGGCGGCUCUCUGGGACGGUACUGACGCUGAGACGCGAAAGCGUGGGGAGCGAACAGG